UACGAAGGGGGCUAGCGUUGCUCGGAAUCACUGGGCGUAAAGCGCACGUAGGCGGAUUGCUAAGUCAGGGGUGAGAUCCUGGAGCUCAACUCCAGAACUGCCUUUGAUACUGGCGGUCUCGAGUCCGGGAGAGGUGAGUGGAACUGCGAGUGUAGAGGUGAAAUUCGUAGAUAUUCGCAAGAACACCAGUGGCGAAGGCGGCUCACUGGCCCGGUACUGACGCUGAGGUGCGAAAGCGUGGGGAGCAAACAGG
RNAcentral lists this ribosomal RNA (253 nucleotides) under uncultured bacterium. RNAcentral describes it as "partial 16S ribosomal RNA". It matches the Rfam family "Bacterial small subunit ribosomal RNA", at positions 524 to 776 of the family's 1533-position model. The record is from RNAcentral.